AUUGAACGCUGGCGGCAUGCCUUACACAUGCAAGUCGAACGGCAGCACGGGAGCAAUCCUGGUGGCGAGUGGCGAACGGGUGAGUAAUAUAUCGGAACGUGCCCAGUCGUGGGGGUAACGUAGCGAAAGCUACGCUAAUACCGCAUACGAUCUAUGGAUGAAAGCGGGGGAUCGCAAGACCUCGCGCGAUUGGAGCGGCCGAUAUCAGAUUAGGUAGUUGGUGGGGUAAGGGCUCACCAAGCCGACGAUCGGUAGCUGGUCUGAGAGGGCGACCAGCCACACUGGGACUGAGACACGGCCCAGACUCCAACGGGAGGCAGCAGUGGGGAAUUUUGGACAAUGGGCGCAAGCCUGAUCCAGCAAUGCCGCGUGCAGGAUGAAGGCCUUCGGGUUGUAAACUGCUUUUGUACGGAACGAAACGGCGAGCUCUAAUACAGUUUGCUAAUGACGGUACCGUAAGAAUAAGCACCGGCUAACUACGUGCCAGCCGCCGCAGUAA
RNAcentral lists this ribosomal RNA (499 nucleotides) under uncultured bacterium. Its description in RNAcentral is "partial 16S ribosomal RNA". It matches the Rfam family "Bacterial small subunit ribosomal RNA", at positions 30 to 523 of the family's 1533-position model. The record is from RNAcentral.